Molecule: ribosomal RNA, 2915 nt
Filed under: Pseudomonas salomonii
Lineage: Bacteria; Pseudomonadati; Pseudomonadota; Gammaproteobacteria; Pseudomonadales; Pseudomonadaceae
Description: 23S ribosomal RNA
Rfam family: Bacterial large subunit ribosomal RNA
Source: RNAcentral
GUUAUAUGGUCAAGUGAAGAAGCGCAUACGGUGGAUGCCUUGGCAGUCAGAGGCGAUGAAAGACGUGGUAGCCUGCGAAAAGCUUCGGGGAGUCGGCAAACAGACUUUGAUCCGGAGAUGUCUGAAUGGGGGAACCCAGCCAUCAUAAGAUGGUUAUCUUACGCUGAAUACAUAGGCGUAAGAGGCGAACCAGGGGAACUGAAACAUCUAAGUACCCUGAGGAAAAGAAAUCAACCGAGAUUCCCUUAGUAGUGGCGAGCGAACGGGGACUAGCCCUUAAGUGGCUUUGAGAUUAGCGGAACGUUCUGGAAAGUACGGCCAUAGUGGGUGAUAGCCCUGUACGCGAAAAUCUCUUAGUCAUGAAAUCGAGUAGGACGGAGCACGAGAAACUUUGUCUGAAUAUGGGGGGACCAUCCUCCAAGGCUAAAUACUACUGACUGACCGAUAGUGAACUAGUACCGUGAGGGAAAGGCGAAAAGAACCCCGGAGAGGGGAGUGAAAUAGAUCCUGAAACCGUAUGCGUACAAGCAGUGGGAGCCUACUUGUUAGGUGACUGCGUACCUUUUGUAUAAUGGGUCAGCGACUUAUUUUCAGUGGCGAGCUUAACCGAAUAGGGGAGGCGUAGCGAAAGCGAGUCUUAAUAGGGCGUCUAGUCGCUGGGAAUAGACCCGAAACCGGGCGAUCUAUCCAUGGGCAGGUUGAAGGUUGGGUAACACUAACUGGAGGACCGAACCGACUACCGUUGAAAAGUUAGCGGAUGACCUGUGGAUCGGAGUGAAAGGCUAAUCAAGCUCGGAGAUAGCUGGUUCUCCUCGAAAGCUAUUUAGGUAGCGCCUCAUGUAUCACUGUAGGGGGUAGAGCACUGUUUCGGCUAGGGGGUCAUCCCGACUUACCAAACCGAUGCAAACUCCGAAUACCUACAAGUGCCGAGCAUGGGAGACACACGGCGGGUGCUAACGUCCGUCGUGAAAAGGGAAACAACCCAGACCGUCAGCUAAGGUCCCAAAGUUAUGGUUAAGUGGGAAACGAUGUGGGAAGGCUUAGACAGCUAGGAGGUUGGCUUAGAAGCAGCCACCCUUUAAAGAAAGCGUAAUAGCUCACUAGUCGAGUCGGCCUGCGCGGAAGAUGUAACGGGGCUCAAACCAUACACCGAAGCUACGGGUAUCACGUAAGUGAUGCGGUAGAGGAGCGUUCUGUAAGCCUGUGAAGGUGAGUUGAGAAGCUUGCUGGAGGUAUCAGAAGUGCGAAUGCUGACAUGAGUAACGACAAUGGGUGUGAAAAACACCCACGCCGAAAGACCAAGGUUUCCUGCGCAACGUUAAUCGACGCAGGGUUAGUCGGUCCCUAAGGCGAGGCUGAAAAGCGUAGUCGAUGGAAAACAGGUUAAUAUUCCUGUACUUCUGGUUAUUGCGAUGGAGGGACGGAGAAGGCUAGGCCAGCUUGGCGUUGGUUGUCCAAGUUUAAGGUGGUAGGCUGAGAUCUUAGGUAAAUCCGGGAUCUUAAGGCCGAGAGCUGAUGACGAGCUAACUUUUAGUUAGCGAAGUGGUUGAUGCCAUGCUUCCAAGAAAAGCUUCUAAGCUUCAGGUAACCAGGAACCGUACCCCAAACCGACACAGGUGGUUGGGUAGAGAAUACCAAGGCGCUUGAGAGAACUCGGGUGAAGGAACUAGGCAAAAUGGCACCGUAACUUCGGGAGAAGGUGCGCCGGUGAGGGUGAAGGACUUGCUCCGUAAGCUCAUGCCGGUCGAAGAUACCAGGCCGCUGCGACUGUUUAUUAAAAACACAGCACUCUGCAAACACGAAAGUGGACGUAUAGGGUGUGACGCCUGCCCGGUGCCGGAAGGUUAAUUGAUGGGGUUAGCUAACGCGAAGCUCUUGAUCGAAGCCCCGGUAAACGGCGGCCGUAACUAUAACGGUCCUAAGGUAGCGAAAUUCCUUGUCGGGUAAGUUCCGACCUGCACGAAUGGCGUAACGAUGGCGGCGCUGUCUCCACCCGAGACUCAGUGAAAUUGAAAUCGCUGUGAAGAUGCAGUGUAUCCGCGGCUAGACGGAAAGACCCCGUGAACCUUUACUAUAGCUUUGCACUGGACUUUGAAUUUGCUUGUGUAGGAUAGGUGGGAGGCUUUGAAGCGUGGACGCCAGUCUGCGUGGAGCCAACCUUGAAAUACCACCCUGGCAACUUUGAGGUUCUAACUCAGGUCCGUUAUCCGGAUCGAGGACAGUGUAUGGUGGGUAGUUUGACUGGGGCGGUCUCCUCCUAAAGAGUAACGGAGGAGUACGAAGGUGCGCUCAGACCGGUCGGAAAUCGGUCGUAGAGUAUAAAGGCAAAAGCGCGCUUGACUGCGAGACAGACACGUCGAGCAGGUACGAAAGUAGGUCUUAGUGAUCCGGUGGUUCUGUAUGGAAGGGCCAUCGCUCAACGGAUAAAAGGUACUCCGGGGAUAACAGGCUGAUACCGCCCAAGAGUUCAUAUCGACGGCGGUGUUUGGCACCUCGAUGUCGGCUCAUCACAUCCUGGGGCUGAAGCCGGUCCCAAGGGUAUGGCUGUUCGCCAUUUAAAGUGGUACGCGAGCUGGGUUUAGAACGUCGUGAGACAGUUCGGUCCCUAUCUGCCGUGGACGUUUGAGAUUUGAGAGGGGCUGCUCCUAGUACGAGAGGACCGGAGUGGACGAACCUCUGGUGUUCCGGUUGUCACGCCAGUGGCAUUGCCGGGUAGCUAUGUUCGGAAUAGAUAACCGCUGAAAGCAUCUAAGCGGGAAACUAGCCUCAAGAUGAGAUCUCACUGGGACCUUGAGUCCCCUGAAGGGCCGUCGAAGACUACGACGUUGAUAGGUUGGGUGUGUAAGCGCUGUGAGGCGUUGAGCUAACCAAUACUAAUUGCCCGUGAGGCUUGACCAUAUAACACCCAAGCAAUU